This 252-nucleotide ribosomal RNA is filed under the name uncultured bacterium. RNAcentral's name for it is "partial 16S ribosomal RNA". It matches the Rfam family "Bacterial small subunit ribosomal RNA", at positions 524 to 776 of the family's 1533-position model. The record is from RNAcentral.
UACGAAGGGGGCUAGCGUUGCUCGGAAUGACUGGGCGUAAAGGGCGCGUAGGCGGAUGGCUUUGUCGGGCGUGAAAUUCCAGGGCUUAACCUUGGGGCUGCGUUCGAGACGGGUUGUCUUGAGUGGGGAAGAGGGUCGUGGAAUUCCCAGUGUAGAGGUGAAAUUCGUAGAUAUUGGGAAGAACACGGUAGCGAAGGCGGCGACCUGGUCCUUUACUGACGCUGAGGCGCGAAAGCGUGGGGAGCAAACAGG